CUUAUGAUGCUUGCCUUGCCAACUCUCUGCUCCGCGGUCUUCGUGGUCAUAGCAACCGCGCCAAGGGGGACUCGAAGCCAAAUCAAACCCUUCUCUUCGCGGCCUAAGCAACAGGAAGAAGAAAGGCUGUCGAUAGCGGACGCGACAAUAUAAUUCCUUUUUUCGUUUUCAUCCCCCUCGAUCUCGAAUCGGACCGACGAGUUCUCACUUCGCGAUCCAGAUGUCUGCGGCGGCUAUCGCCUGCAGUAGAGGCGCCGCCGCGUUAGGGUUUCGUUGCAGGUCGCUGAUGCGGCUGCCGGCGGCGCAAGUCGGGUGCCCUCGGUCCAAUUUGUCGCUGCUGCAGCGCUUCUCUUCGCAACUAGUCAAGAGCAACGGGAGUAGGGCUUGCCUUAUCGACACGCUCGCUCUGGUCAGGAGGUUGGAGAAGGAAGGGGUCCCGUCGAAGCAAGCGGAGGCCAUCACAUCGACCAUCACGGAGGUUUUGAAUGAGAGCUUGGAGAGUGUCGCCCAGUCCUUUGUGUCCAAGCCCGAGAUGCAGAGGAGUGAGAUGAUUCAAGAUUCUAAUCUCUGGAAAUUCAAAUUGGAAAUGAAGGGCUCGCAGUACCUAACUCCAUCAUUGGUGAUUCUGAAACGGAAGCUACAAAAGAUGGUCGUAGCCUGUCAGAUUUCAAGUAUGCUUGUGUUGGUUAUUCAGUUUUCCUAGAUAGGAAAGAUAAUACUGCUGAAAAGCCAGAGAACCAAGCAGAAUUUCCAUUUUGUGUGGGCAUAGAGGUCAUUUCUUGCUUCUCUGACUUUCUUAACUGCAUGUUGCUUGGUAUUGUGUUCCUUUCAUAUUUUUUCAGGAGUAUGCCUUUUUGAUCUCUAUUGUAUAGGUCUAAAUGUUCUUACUGGAACAAAUAAUUGAUUACAUGUAUCGACUAACAUUGAUACGCUAUUGUUGUCUAUAUGCAUAUACAACUGAUGCUUUGGUUAUUUUAUAUGCACAGACGACAAUUGUUAUUUUUAGCUGUAUGCACAGGCAAUCACCACUAAACUUUUGACGUAGCUUAUCUAGCAUCAGUCACGCAAAGGUAGAUUAGUUCAGAAUAAUUUUAUCCAAUACAUAUGUGGUGGUUGUUGAAUUUGGCGCUGGGUUUAUAUUCACCUUUCAUACUAUUUCUUUUAAGAAUAAUAUUGUGUUUGUAUAACCCAAAAGGUAUUGAAUUCACAAUCAAAGACAGAGAAAAAUGUUUAGAUAAUUAUGGAUUACAUGGAGAAUUAUCUGCAUUAAAGAAAUCCUGAUACAGAUGUUGUUGGAUGGGAUCUUCUUCUCCCGUAUUGUGUAUAAUGAAAUAUGCUUCCUGUACUUGAUCUUAUCACGUUUGAGAUAUCCAUUUGUGCUAGGAUGUGUGCUUUAGUUUAUAAGAGAUGGAGGACAUCACUGUGCCAAGGAGUGCUGUAAGAUGUAGAAUAUAGGUGACAUAAAGGAAAGCUAAAGAGUGCAAUUUGGAGAGUUAACUCUUGUAUUUUUUUCCCUUGCAAUUGUGUUUCAGAACUUUUCUUUUCAUUGUCAGUUCGCUAACAUCCAUAUGAAAUUUAUUGCAGAUAUUGGCGGACAGAAGAACUUCAACUGCUGGUCAAAUUCCUGCAAAUGUUAACAAGGAAGGUGAUGGACCGUAAACGAUCUUUUGGAAGUUCUAUUUUAUUUAAAACAAGGAUGGAUGUCAAUCUAUGUUUCUAGCUACAUUGGAUCAUAAGGCCAAUUUCUUGAUAUCUUUGCUAUAUUUUAUCAUCGGUUAUGGGGUUAGGUUCAGCAACAUCUAUGGCAUUUCAUGAGCCUUAAUUUCCAAUUUUUGGAACUAUUUCACAAAGGUCGAUAAGGUGGACAAUAUGGAAAGAUCAGUAUUAUGAACAACAUGAACCUUUUGUUCUAGCUCACUAGAGGAAGGUGGUGGACGGUAGAUCUUUUGUAAGCAUUUGUUAUUUAAAUGGAUCAAGGAGUUGGGAAAGUAGAGCAUAAAUAUAUGUUAAUUUUCUAUAUAUUUAAAUGAAGAUAAUGGCUGAGGUCAACAUGUAACUUUUGUUUUUUCUUGUAGAUAUUAGUUCGGAAUCUUGACCAGUAAUUAGCUUAGAGCAUUUUCUGGUCUUGAAAAAAGAAAAAGAAAAAUGUCAUUGUAUCACUACUGUUUUAUGCUAAGCAUAGAAAAUGAGUCAAGUAGAAUGUAGAUGUCAAACAAAACUUAAGGUUUGUUUGGUACAAUCAUGGGUGGAAAAACAUUGACUUGGGAAGUUGUGACAAAUUGGAAAUUUUUGUUAUCCUUGACCAAUUUCUAAUACGUGCAAAGAGGAUUAUUAUUACAUGUUAUCAAAGAUGAAUACUGAAAAUUAUUUGCAUUGUCAAAUCAAUAUCGAAAAUUUUGAGCUAGUUUAAUGAGGGAGUUGCUUUUUAUUUCUUUUAUAUAGGCAACAUGUAGUGGAUUAAUCACUUGAAAGUGAUCAAAAGCUUUUGUUGUUCUUAAUAGAAGAUCUGCAAAUGCUUCUCUAAAACCUAGAGGUUUCUCAAGCUUUUUUGCCUUAGUGGAACCUAAUAUUACCUUGAUAGCUCGUGUGCAAAUCUGGAAGUGGCAUUUGGUAGAGCAAAAAAGUGCAUAUGCUGCAGCUAAUCAUUUUUUUGGGAUCUUGUGCGUGUGGUGAGCAGCAUGGGUUGAUGUUUGGCCUUUGUUGGCAUAAAAUUGAUUUGAUGGAGAGGUACAAGUGCUCUCAUGUUUGGAGGUUUUGAUAAGGAAGAGGUCUGCUGUCUUAAGAGGAUGACAUUUUUGCAGAGUUUGCUCCUUCGCUGUAGAAAAUUUUAAGUUGGUUUUUAAUUCAAGGGUUUUAACUAAUAAUUUGAGAUCAAGCACUAAUAACUUUUUAAUUACACCUCAAAUUGUUGUGAGACUUUAUGUUUGUCAAUUUGCAUGAAAUUCAUAUAUACUGAAGCAUCAUAUUAUUUUUUUGCAAUACAUCCUGUAUCUCUUAUCAAUAUAGCUCAGGAAAAGGCCCACUGUUGGGAUCUUGGGGCUAAUUGGUGUUGCAUCUUGUCUCUUCUAAAACAUUUUUCCCAUGAAACAAGUUAUUCAACAUUUCUUGCUAUUCUCGGUGCAUGAACUGCUUUCUUAAUUUUGUGUCUUACCCGUUGCUUGAUAUCGUAGUAGAUGCUACACUACAUUCUCAGCCACACGCACACCAACCAGCUCAGCAUUCAGUGGAUGAAUUCUUCGGCAAGAAGAAAGUUUAGAAAGAAUGCUAGGGUGGUGGCCUCAGGUGUAGCUAGGAACCUGAACAAAGUGGGCAACUACAUAAAGGAAAACAUUGAUGACAUUUUGUAUCCUUAUCGCAAGCCACCCAAGUAAAACCUUCUAUUGACUAACAACGCAGGUGCGAUUGUUUGAACUUUGUUUCUUUCUAUUCCAUGUUCAAUAAGCUCAAUUCUACCUAGAUGCUGCAUAUGAGUUUGGCCAUUGCUGGUAGUAACCACAAGGCCAAUGUAAGCAGCGCUGGAGCACUUAGCACUCUUGAGUUCAAAGUUUUAUCAUCUGUUGCAUGUAUUUUACUUUUCUAGUGAUAACAUGUAAAGUUUAUCCAUUGAAACUUCUUUAUAAUAUGGACUUUAUUAAUGAGCACUAUAAAUUGGUGAUAAGUUUAGAAAUUUUA
This is an RNA transcript of Musa acuminata AAA Group (dessert banana), 3672 nucleotides long. RefSeq lists it as uncharacterized. The transcript is spliced from 5 exons. The record is from RefSeq and is a predicted model, not a curated record. NCBI's taxonomy places the organism in Eukaryota, Viridiplantae, Streptophyta, Magnoliopsida, Zingiberales, Musaceae.